This 74-nucleotide transfer RNA is filed under the name Caudoviricetes sp. Its description in RNAcentral is "tRNA-Arg". It matches the Rfam family "tRNA". From Rfam's summary of the family: Transfer RNA (tRNA) molecules are approximately 80 nucleotides in length. Their secondary structure includes four short double-helical elements and three loops (D, anti-codon, and T loops). The record is from RNAcentral. Lineage: Duplodnaviria; Heunggongvirae; Uroviricota; Caudoviricetes.
GACUGAGUAGCUCAGUGGAUAGAGCAGGUUGAUUCCUAAUCACCGGGGCGUGAGUUCGAUCCUCACCUCAGUCA